Molecule: long non-coding RNA, 1129 nt
Filed under: Sarcophilus harrisii (Tasmanian devil)
Lineage: Eukaryota; Metazoa; Chordata; Mammalia; Dasyuromorphia; Dasyuridae
Description: lncRNA (ENSSHAG00000028569.1)
Source: RNAcentral
UAAAAAUUUUGUGUUUUAAUACAUUGCCAUGCACAUAUGAAGUCAAAUAAUGCGGAGUACAAAAUUGUCAAGUAUACAAAAUGAUAAAGCAGAUUUCCAAGCCUCCUAGAGAUCAUGCCCACGGACACCAGAGAGAAAAAACAAUAAACUUUGAAAAUUUUCAUUUAACUCAAUUUAAAGAGAAUGCCUGCCUCCUCAUCAACUCUUUCUAAAGACAGUUGAAAACAAUUAAAAAAAUCAAAAAACUAGAACAGUGAAUCAAUGGGCAUUAACAUGUUGACAGCCACUUAAAUAUGGAAAUGGACAGGUUAAAUGAUGUGUAAUCAUUCUCGUAUCUGGGAAAAAUAAGGUUUUCUGCACAUUAUUUUUGCCCCUGGAAUUCCUAGGGGAAUACAAUAUAUGCCCAUCAGAAAGGCACUCGAUGUUAUCACUCUAUUUGGAUGUCUACAGAGAUAUAGUAUUAUGGUAUAAAGGGAGGAAACAGUUGUGGGUGAUGAAAAAAGAAAAUACCUGUUUAUCAAACCCUUCUCAGGAAGCUGAUGCAGGUGCUGGCUUAUGGUAUACUUAUAGAAGCUGUGAAAAAGGUCUGACCUACACAGGGCUAUGGUGUUACAAAGUACACUUACUAAACCUAGCUGACAACGUGUGCUCCUGCACACAAGCACGGGCAUGCAGUUUACCAAAGAGGGAGUGAGCAGUUUUCACUGGUUUGCUUCCCGAUAUUACAAGAAGUUUUUUCUGGCCUACAAUUCACUUCACAUGGGGUGGUCUUUCCUUCCUUCAUCAGAACCCACACUACUGGAUGGUGGCUAAUGGACAGAAAUUCAGGGUAGAAUGAUCUGAUUCCUUACCCUCCAUUUGUCAACUACCUACUUCUGCCCUUCAGCAAUACAGGGAUCAAAAAAACCUAUCUUGUAAAAAAAAAAAAAAAAAAAAAAAAAAAAAAAAAAAGCCAAAUCCAAAGCUCUCUCCUUUGGCUGGCUGGUUCACAAGAGCGCAAUGCAUUGGGAAAUGGAGCCGGGAUGACAGAUGACUGCCUCAGUCUUUGGAAUUCAUAAGACAGCACGAAUCUCAUUUGGCAAAUCAGAUAGUUGUGGGAUAGGUAGAUCACUCCUUUCUUUCCUGGUUU